UUCCAUCUUCGGGGCAGGGUGAAAUUCCCGACCGACGGUGAAGAACCCACUUGGUGUUCUAAGUCCGUGACCCGGGAGGCCAUUUUUGGCCAAGCGGUGGACCUGGUGAGAAUCCGGGACCGACAGUUACAGUCUGGAUGGGAGAAGAUGUAG
This 153-nucleotide non-coding RNA is filed under the name Pontibacillus yanchengensis. RNAcentral describes it as "FMN sequence". It matches the Rfam family "FMN riboswitch aptamer (RFN element)". From Rfam's summary of the family: The RFN element is a highly conserved domain that is found frequently in the 5'-untranslated regions of prokaryotic mRNAs that encode for flavin mononucleotide (FMN) biosynthesis and transport proteins. This element is a metabolite-dependent riboswitch that directly binds FMN in the absence of proteins. In Bacillus subtilis, the riboswitch most likely controls gene expression by causing premature transcription termination within the 5' untranslated region of the ribDEAHT operon and precluding access to the ribosome-binding site of ypaA mRNA. The record is from RNAcentral. Lineage: Bacteria; Bacillati; Bacillota; Bacilli; Caryophanales; Bacillaceae. RNAcentral also lists the same sequence under 1 other name.